CUGUCACAACCUAAUAUCAUAAUUUCCAGAAUUCACUAAUCCAGUAUCGACUUCAUGCUUUAGCAGCUUAUAUGCUGACAUAGAAGUAAGCAAAAACUAAGAUUGUAAUAAUUGAGACACAACAUAUAGGUAGUGUAGGAGGAGCAUAGGUGCACAAACAGGUAAACCCAUUGAAUUGAUCAAACAAAUAUGUACAUAUACAUGUACAUAGACAUAUGUCCAUGUUUACAUACAUAAACUUGUGGAGAAUAACAAGAGAAGCUACAAGAUCAUAAUAAAAGAACCAUCUAAUUUUCAUCCAAAAAUUCAGAAGAGAACGUAUAUGAACCUGUUUUUCUCCUCAUAGGAUUGACAGAAGAAACUCCAAACUGGAUACAAACUAAACUUUAAUGACCUAAUCUAACCUACUCAUAGAACAAAAAUCUUUCCUUGAAAGACUUCCACCCUUAAGACAGAGGAACUAGCAUCUCCUCAGAAACAUAAAAUACAAAGCAGUGAACACUUGUUCUUGGUAACAAUGGCAUGAGAUUCAUAGCAACAGCAAGUAAAAGAACCCAACUGCACCAUCCAAUACUCAAAAAACAUUCUCCUUUUUUAAGGGUUCCACUAUCCAAAUCAUUAUCCCAUUCAAUCAAAGGUCAAGCAUGACAAGUGCAAAUAAGAUAUCAGUCACUUAGAAUUCUUUCAUCUAA
RNAcentral lists this long non-coding RNA (692 nucleotides) under Phoenix dactylifera (date palm). RNAcentral describes it as "long non-coding RNA (PDAC_LNC018705)". The record is from RNAcentral. Lineage: Eukaryota; Viridiplantae; Streptophyta; Magnoliopsida; Arecales; Arecaceae.